RNAcentral lists this long non-coding RNA (1143 nucleotides) under Helianthus annuus (common sunflower). RNAcentral's name for it is "sRNA HanXRQr2_Chr16g0773011". Lineage: Eukaryota; Viridiplantae; Streptophyta; Magnoliopsida; Asterales; Asteraceae. The record is from RNAcentral.
GCUUAAACCUUUCCUCUAUGUUGCUCUCUCACACUAUAUUCUUUUUGGUUUAGUAAUUCACCCCUAAAUCCUACAAAGCCCUGCCCUAUUUUAAGUAUUGUAACCCCCGAUCACCGAUACCCUAUCCGACUGACGUAGGGCCCCGUAACGUAUGUCAAGGCUCUGCCUAAAUUCGUUGGGGUUCUGUCUCGUGACGUAGGGAUAACAUGAAAUUGGGUUACCAUACUUAAUGUGAGUGCACUAUAUAUUUUAUUAAAUAACCCAGGAGUGAUACUCGAAAUAUAACAACUCUCCAAAAACACCUCUGAUACCCUACACUUCCUAAAAUACACCCCGUAUGUGAAAACCGAGCCCGGAAUACAAUAUAGCAUUUAAAAUAAAUUAAAAACAAGAAAAUAUAAGUUUACGCGGGCCGCGUAAAGAUCCUCGCUUAGUUAACGCGGGCCGCGAGAGGUUAGAAAGGUGGCGCAGCCCUGGGCCGCCACGUGGCACAACACCCGUCAAGCCUAUACCUCAACUCAGCAUAGCUAUACGUUGACUUUGGGUCAACGCGGGCCGCGUAAGACCUGUUCUUAUUUGACGCGGGCCGCGAGAGAGUUCAGUAUCAGCCCUAUAAAUUGGAUCGUCGAGCCUUCAGUCCGAUCGUUCAUUUCUUUCUUUCUCUCUCUUAAUUUCUGAGUAGUAGAAGUAAUACCCGGGUAUAAUGCCCCCCUAAUUAGCGAAGCUCUGCCUCGUUACUAUAACCAGGGAAUCACAAAGGAAAGCCCUAUAAUAGCAAUGUAACUUAGUGUGAAGCCAAUAAAAGCCAGCUGGAGAGCACUGAAGGCUUGGGAAAGUGGCAAUAAAGUUACCUAAAAUAAAAUAGAUGUUUUUAUUAAACAAAAUAGGAUUUAUUCCUAUGAAAAUGUGUGUACUACAAACUUGGGUUUUACCCAUGUGUUUAAUAUUAUGAAAAUAUGGUGGUUUUACUCUGAUAAAAAUAUUUCCUAACUACGGUCCUGAUGAAAAAUUCCGCUGCCAAAUUAGACAAUACACGAUACCACCGAAACUGGCUCACGGCCGCCCGUUCCUGAGGGGUCGGGGGUUGUGACAAAAGGUGGUAUCAGAGCUAUGCCACUGGUUCAAGCCAAAGAAGUAGUAUGA